This 468-nucleotide ribosomal RNA is filed under the name uncultured bacterium. Its description in RNAcentral is "partial 16S ribosomal RNA". It matches the Rfam family "Bacterial small subunit ribosomal RNA", at positions 28 to 507 of the family's 1533-position model. The record is from RNAcentral.
GACGAACGCUGGCGGCGUGCUUAACACAUGCAAGUCGAACGGAAAGGCCCUGCUUUUGUGGGGUGCUCGAGUGGCGAACGGGUGAGUAACACGUGAGUAACCUGCCCUUGACUUUGGGAUAACUUCAGGAAACUGGGGCUAAUACCGGAUAGGAGCUCCUGCUGCAUGGUGGGGGUUGGAAAGUUUCGGCGGUUGGGGAUGGACUCGCGGCUUAUCAGCUUGUUGGUGGGGUAGUGGCUUACCAAGGCUUUGACGGGUAGCCGGCCUGGGAGGGUGACCGGCCACAAUGGGACUGAGCUACGGCCCAGACUCGUACGGGAGGCAGCAGUGGGGAAUAUUGCACAAUGGGCGGAAGCCUGAUGCAGCAACGCCGCGUGCGGGAUGACGGCCUUCGGGUUGUAAACCGCUUUCGCCUGUGACGAAGCGUGAGUGACGGUAAUGGGUAAAGAAGCACCGGCUAACUACGUG